GACGAACGCUGGCGGCGUGCUUAACACAUGCAAGUCGAACGGAAAGGCCCUGCUUUUGUGGGGUGCUCGAGUGGCGAACGGGUGAGUAACACGUGAGUAACCUGCCCUUGACUUUGGGAUAACUUCAGGAAACUGGGGCUAAUACCGGAUAGGAGCUCCUGCUGCAUGGUGGGGGUUGGAAAGUUUCGGCGGUUGGGGAUGGACCCGCGGCUUAUCAGCUUGUUGGUGGGGUAGUGGCUUACCAAGGCUUUGACGGGUAGCCGGCCUGAGAGGGUGACCGGCCACAUUGGGACUGAGAUACGGCCCAGACUCCUACGGGAGGCAGCAGUGGGGAAUAUUGCACAAUGGGCGGAAGCCUGAUGCAGCAACGCCGCGUGCGGGAUGACGGCCUUCGGGUUGUAAACCGCUUUCGCCUGUGACGAAGCGUGAGUGACGGUAAUGGGUAAAGAAGCACCGGCUAACUACGUGCCAGCAGCCGCGGUGAUACGUAGGGUGCGAGCGUUGUCCGGAUUUAUUGGGCGUAAAGGGCUCGUAGGUGGUUGAUCGCGUCGGAAGUGUAAUCUUGGGGCUUAACCCUGAGCGUGCUUUCGAUACGGGUUGACUUGAGGAAGGUAGGGGAGAAUGGAAUUCCUGGUGGAGCGGUGGAAUGCGCAGAUAUCAGGAGGAACACCAGUGGCGAAGGCGGUUCUCUGGGCCUUUCCUGACGCUGAGGAGCGAAAGCGUGGGGAGCGAACAGGCUUAGAUACCCUGGUAGUCCACGCUGUAAACGGUGGGUACUAGGUGUGGGGUCCAUUCCACGGGUUCCGUGCCGUAGCUAACGCUUUAAGUACCCCGCCUGGGGAGUACGGCCGCAAGGCUAAAACUCAAAGGAAUCGACGGGGCCCCGCACAAGCGGCGGAGCAUGCGGAUUAAUUCGAUGCAACGCGUAGAACCUUACCUGGGUUUGACAUGGAUCGGGAGUGCUCAGAGAUGGGUGUGCCUCUUUUGGGGUCGGUUCACAGGUGGUGCAUGGCUGUCGUCAGCUCGUGUCGUGAGAUGUUGGGUUAAGUCCCGCAACGAGCGCAACCCUUGUUCACUGUUGCCAGCACGUUAUGGUGGGGACUCAGUGGAGACCGCCGGGGUCAACUCGGAGGAAGGUGGGGAUGACGUCAAGUCAUCAUGCCCCUUAUGUCCAGGGCUUCACGCAUGCUACAAUGGCUGGUACAGAGAGUGGCGAGCCUGUGAGGGUGAGCGAAUCUCGGAAAGCCGGUCUCAGUUCGGAUUGGGGUCUGCAACUCGACCUCAUGAAGUCGGAGUCGCUAGUAAUCGCAGAUCAGCAACGCUGCGGUGAAUACGUUCCCGGGGCU
RNAcentral lists this ribosomal RNA (1346 nucleotides) under uncultured bacterium. RNAcentral's name for it is "partial 16S ribosomal RNA". It matches the Rfam family "Bacterial small subunit ribosomal RNA", at positions 28 to 1381 of the family's 1533-position model. The record is from RNAcentral.